CCGCCGGCGACCGGCGCACGGGUGAGUAACGCGUAUGCAACCUGCCCGUUUCAGCGGGAUAACCCGGAGAAAUCCGGCCUAAUACCGCAUGUGGCCGAGGGGAGGCAUCUUCUUUCGGCCAAAGGAGGCAACUCCGGAGACGGAUGGGCAUGCGUGACAUUAGCUUGUUGGCGGGGUAACGGCCCACCAAGGCGACGAUGUCUAGGGGUUCUGAGAGGAAGGUCCCCCACACUGGUACUGAGACACGGACCAGACUCCUACGGGAGGCAGCAG
RNAcentral lists this ribosomal RNA (273 nucleotides) under uncultured bacterium. RNAcentral's name for it is "partial 16S ribosomal RNA". It matches the Rfam family "Bacterial small subunit ribosomal RNA", at positions 85 to 354 of the family's 1533-position model. The record is from RNAcentral.